This 450-nucleotide ribosomal RNA is filed under the name uncultured Glomus. Its description in RNAcentral is "SSU rRNA". It matches the Rfam family "Eukaryotic small subunit ribosomal RNA", at positions 569 to 1024 of the family's 1831-position model. Lineage: Eukaryota; Fungi; Glomeromycota; Glomeromycetes; Glomerales; Glomeraceae. The record is from RNAcentral.
AGCAGCCGCGGUAAUUCCAGCUCCAAUAGCGUAUAUUAAAGUUGUUGCAGUUAAAAAGCUCGUAGUUGAAUUUCGGGGUCAGCAGGUUGGUCGUGCCUCUGGUACGCACUGGUUUCGCUGAUUCCUCCUUUCUGAAGAACUGUAAUGUCAUUAAUUUGGUGUUGCAGGGAAACAGGACUGUUACUUUGAAAAAUUAGAGUGUUUAAAGCAAGCUAACGCUUGAAUACAUUAGCAUGGAAUAAUGAAAUAGGACGUUUGAUCCUAUUUUGUUGGUUUCUAGGAUUGACGUAAUGAUUAAUAGGGAUAGUUGGGGGCAUUAGUAUUCAAUUGUCAGAGGUGAAAUUCUUGGAUUUAUUGAAGACUAACUACUGCGAAAGCAUUUGCCAAGGAUGUUUUCAUUAAUCAAGAACGAAAGUUAGGGGAUCGAAGACGAUCAGAUACCGUCGUAGU